UACGUAGGGGGCAAGCGUUGUCCGGAUUUAUUGGGCGUAAAGAGCUCGUAGGUGGUUCGGUAAGUCGGAUGUGAAAUCUCCAGGCUCAACCUGGAGGGGUCAUUCGAUACUGCCGUGACUAGAGGUCGGUAGGGGAGUGUGGAAUUCCUGGUGGAGCGGUGAAAUGCGCAGAUAUCAGGAGGAACACCGGUGGCGAAGGCGGGUCUCUGGGCCGUAACUGACGCUGAGGCACGAAAGCCAGGGGAGCAAACGGG
Molecule: ribosomal RNA, 254 nt
Filed under: uncultured bacterium
Lineage: Bacteria
Description: partial 16S ribosomal RNA
Rfam family: Bacterial small subunit ribosomal RNA
Source: RNAcentral